GACGAACGCUGGCGGCGCGCUUAACACAUGCAAGUCGAACGGAAGGGCCUGCUUUCCCUUGUGGAUUGCGGGUACUCGAGUGGCGAACGGGUGAGUAACACGUGAGUGAUCUGCCCCCAACUUGGGUACAAGCCUGGGAAACUGGGUCUAAUUCCCGAUAGGACUGCAGGGUGGUGCCUGUGGUGGAAAACGAUUUUCUAGUGGUUGGGGAUGAGCUCGCGGCCUAUCAGCUUGUUGGUGGGGUAAUGGCCUACCAAGGCGGCGACGGGUAGCCGGCCUGAGAGGGUGGACGGCCACAUUGGGACUGAGAUACGGCCCAGACUCCUACGGGAGGCAGCAGUGGGGAAUAUUGCACAAUGGGCGGAAGCCUGAUGCAGCGACGCCGCGUGGGGGAUGACGGCCUUCGGGUUGUAAACUCCUUUCGACCGCGAGGAAGCCACCUGGUUGGAAGGGUGGUGACGGUAGUGGUAGAAGAAGCACCGGCUAACUACGUG
RNAcentral lists this ribosomal RNA (494 nucleotides) under uncultured bacterium. Its description in RNAcentral is "partial 16S ribosomal RNA". It matches the Rfam family "Bacterial small subunit ribosomal RNA", at positions 28 to 507 of the family's 1533-position model. The record is from RNAcentral.